UACGGAGGGGGCUAGCGUUGUUCGGAAUUACUGGGCGUAAAGCGCACGUAGGCGGAUUGGAAAGUUGGGGGUGAAAUCCCGGGGCUCAACCCCGGAACUGCCUUCAAAACUCCCAGUCUGGAGGUCGAGAGAGGUGAGUGGAAUUCCGAGUGUAGAGGUGAAAUUCGUAGAUAUUCGGAGGAACACCAGUGGCGAAGGCGGCUCACUGGCUCGAUACUGACGCUGAGGCGCGAAAGCUAGGGGAGCAAACGGG
Molecule: ribosomal RNA, 253 nt
Filed under: uncultured bacterium
Lineage: Bacteria
Description: partial 16S ribosomal RNA
Rfam family: Bacterial small subunit ribosomal RNA
Source: RNAcentral